UCGAAAGCGGACUAGGACGCCAGCCGCAGCUUCCCGACCACCCACCUUCGGCCGCCACCUGGGCUGCAAAGACGCCUCUCUCCGAGCUCGCCCCAGAGACUCUGUCGCCCGGACUCUGACCCUGCCACCUGGACCAAGGCCGAGGCCCCGGUGACCCCUAGAGUCGGAGUCUACCCGGCCAAGCCGCGGCCGGAGACUACCGGCCGUCGCCAUGGCAUGCAGUCUGCAGAAGCUGUUUGCUGUGGAAGAGGAGUUUGAAGAUGAGGAUUUCUUGUCGGCGGUGGAGGAUGCAGAGAACCAGUUCGUUGGCUCACGGCCUGUGAAUGCUGGGUGCCUGCGACCUGUCUCUUCUCGGCCACAGGAGGUCCAGCUACUGCCAUGCCCCACUGCUCCUUCAGAGGCUGCGGGCCUGCCAGCCCUGGGACUCCGCCUUUCUACCUCUGGCAUGCCCAGGGCCGUUGAAGGUCCACCUUCCACAGGAACAGCUCCCCUAAGGCCUGUCUCAAUGUCCAGCAGCUGGACUGGCAAUCAGGGAAGAGUGACACUGACAGAAGUGCUCAGUGAGACCCCAGUAAGACCCCAGUCCUCAGUCUCCCACCCCCAGCUCACCUUCAAGAGCAAACAGCAGGUGAUUGGUGGCUUUGAGGGGCCUGAACAAGAUGAAUUUGAUAAGGUCCUGGCAAGCAUGGAGCUGGAACUUGGAGUUAGCGGUGAGGCCACAGGAAUCCUGCCCACCUGGCGGCGGGAGGACUCAACAUUGGCUAAAAAGGCCCGGGCAGCUGAUCUGAGCAGACCUUGCCAAAAGGGGCCCAUGCCUGCAACCCACAUAGCUGGUAUCCCGUCAGCUCGGGAUGUGCCCCCGGAUCCUGUUGUCCACUGUGGGACUCCACAGUCCCACUUGAGGCCUGGUGCCACGGGUAACCUUCCUGUCCCAACUGCCUCAGUGGUUCGCGGUCAGCAGCCCCAUUGGGAAGUCUCUCCCGGUGGUCCCCCUCCUCAAGCACCCCAGCCUCUCCAAGCUGCUGGCAGGCUCGUUCAGAGCAGCCCUCAAAAUCAUUUCCCUGGUCAGCCAUUCCCGUCUCCAAAUGCCUGCUUAACUGGCAAACCUCAUUUUCUUACACCACAAACUCCCAACUCAAGCUGUGCUACUCCCUCAAGGACUAUCUCUGGAUUAUUUCCUCAGGGGCCCUUCCAGCCCCGAGCUCCAGCAUCUUCUGUCAAGUCUCCUGUCAGCACCCUGAAGGGCCCCCGUCCUUCCCCAGUCCCUCAAGCUGCUCUGCAGACGCCCAUCGUCACGAACCACCUGGUGCGGCUGGUCACUGCUGCCAACCGGACACCCCAGCAGCCCACUUGCACUUCCACCCGCGCCAAAACGCGCCGCUUCCCCGGCCCAGCAGGGCUCCUGCCUCGCCAGCACAGUGGGAAAAAUCUGGACGACAUCAUGGUUUCCACGCCCCAGACUCCGACUCAUGGUGCUCUGGCUAAAUUCCGGACAGAGAUUGUUACUAGUUCCCAGGCAUCGGUGGAGGAGGACUUUGGGCGAGGGCCCUGGCUGACCAUGAAAUCUGCUCUGGGCCUGGAUGAGAGAGACCCUACCUGUUUCCUCUGUACCUACAGCAUCAUCAUGGUGCUGCGGAAGGCAGCCCUGAAGCAGCUGCCCAGGAACAAAGUCCCCAACAUGGCCGUGAUGAUCAAGUCCCUGACUCGGAGCACAGUGGACGCCAGUGCAGUUUUCAAGGACCCCACGGGAGAGAUGCAGGGCACGGUGCACAGGUUGCUGCUGGAGACACGCCAGAAUGAGCUGAAGCCUGGCUCAGUGCUGCUGCUGAAGCAGAUCGGAGUGUUCUCUCCUUCACUCCGAAAUCACUACCUCAACGUGACGCCCAACAACCUGGUCCACGUUUAUAGCCCAGAUUCUGGGGAUGGGAACUUCCUCAAGCCAUCGCAGCCCUUCCCCAAGGUGGCAGUGCAGAGAACAGACAGCUACAGAUGGUCUGUCAGGAUCCAGGAAGCUUCCAUGAACGCCUCCAGCAUGAGACCGAGAAGCCUGGGAAAGGCCUCAGAAUAGCACAGAACCCAGAGGCAGGGGCAUCACCUGAGAAAGAACUACUCCCAGAAGCAGAUGACCUAGAUGGACUCCUGAGCGAGCUCCCUGAGGACUUCUUCUGUGGCACCAGCAGUUGGGACUCCCCCAAGGCAGGGCACCCCCCAUGAGCCGGCAGCCUCUCAGCACCCAGGAGAGAGAAGACCAACACAAUUGGAAAACAAAGUUCCGGGACUUCUCUGGCUGCUCCCACCCUGGACACUUACCCUGAGAACACCCUCGUCCCUCGGGUUCUGCAGUGCCGUCACUCUGGGUCUUCCUUUGGCAGCCGGAACUCUGCCCAGGAUCAACUCCAGCUCUACUGUCCUCCAAGCCCUCGGGUGCACAUUCCGUCUCCUCCUCCAACAGGGAAGGUGUGCCGUUCUCCCACCUCAGCUUGAAUUUAGAGGAUGCUGGGCCUGGUCCCUUUACUCCCUAGUCCGCGGGCAGCUGAGGAGCUAAGAGGAGCUGCACCACAGCAGUGGCGACCUGUCCCUCUGGACAAGGAAGGAACGCUCAGACUUCCCUCUGCGUCGUCUCUUGAGGCCUGUAGCUGGCCAGCUCACCUGUGCCCAGGGCUCCCAGGAGCGGGGGCAGGAGGACGGCUGAGGUGCCUUAUUCUGAAAUAAAGCAGCCGCCUGCUUCACCCACCUCCCUCUCGUUUCCAGCCUCGCUGCUCCUUGUUCUGUCUGCCCUGCUGGUGGUACCUUGGCCAGAGCAGAGCCAAGCCACUCGUUUUCUCUCUCUCUGUCUCUCUCCUUUUUUUUUUAACUAUAAACUUUUUCUUGUAGACAGUUUUAGAUUUAUAGAAUUAUUGCAAAGAUGUUACAGGGAGUUCUCAUAUACCCCACACCCAGUCUCCCCUAUUGCUGCCAUCUUACAUUAGUAUGGUAGAUUUGUUGCAACUAAAGAACCAGUAUUGAUACAUUACUAUUAACUGAAUUCCAUACUUCAUUCACAUUACUCAGUUUUCCCCUG
Molecule: RNA transcript, 3061 nt
Organism: Aethalodelphis obliquidens (Pacific white-sided dolphin)
Lineage: Eukaryota; Metazoa; Chordata; Mammalia; Artiodactyla; Delphinidae
Gene: HROB
Gene name: homologous recombination factor with OB-fold
Exons: 11
Source: RefSeq, a predicted model, not a curated record